AAUGCCGGAUGUUCCACAUGAUCGCAUGUGAUUGUGGGAAAGAUUCUAUCGGCGUGGGAUGGGGUCGCGUCCUAUCAGCUUGUUGGUGAGGUAACGGCUCACCAAGGCUUCGACGGGUAGCCGGCCUGAGAGGGCGACCGGCCACAUUGGGACUGAGAUACGGCCCAGACUCCUACGGGAGGCAGCAGUGGGGAAUAUUGCACAAUGGGCGCAAGCCUGAUGCAGCGACGCCGCGUGAGGGAUGGAGGCCUUCGGGUUGUAAACCUCUUUUGUUUGGGAGCAAGCCUUCGGGUGAGUGUACCUUUCGAAUAAGCGCCGGCUAACUACGUGCCAGCAGCCGCGGUAAUACGUAGGGCGCAAGCGUUAUCCGGAUUUAUUGGGCGUAAAGGGCUCGUAGGCGGCUCGUCGCGUCCGGUGUGAAAGUCCAUCGCUUAACGGUGGAUCUGCGCCGGGUACGGGCGGGCUGGAGUGCGGUAGGGGAGACUGGAAUUCCCGGUGUAACGGUGGAAUGUGUAGAUAUCGG
This 523-nucleotide ribosomal RNA is filed under the name Bifidobacterium bifidum. RNAcentral describes it as "bacterial SSU rRNA". It matches the Rfam family "Bacterial small subunit ribosomal RNA", at positions 165 to 700 of the family's 1533-position model. Lineage: Bacteria; Bacillati; Actinomycetota; Actinomycetes; Bifidobacteriales; Bifidobacteriaceae. The record is from RNAcentral.